Molecule: long non-coding RNA, 1799 nt
Organism: Physeter macrocephalus (sperm whale)
Lineage: Eukaryota; Metazoa; Chordata; Mammalia; Artiodactyla; Physeteridae
Exons: 3
Source: RefSeq, a predicted model, not a curated record
CGAGGAGUCCGCGGAGCGGCGGGGUGAAGGUUCCACAUCUGCAGAUUCAACCAACUGCAAAUUGAAAAUAUUCAGGAAGGGACUUCCCUGGUGGUGCAGUGAUUAAGAAUCCGCCUGCCGAUGCAGGGGCCACAGGUUUGAGCCCUGGUCCAGGAAGAUCCCACACGCCGCGGAGCAACUAAGCCCACGAGCCACAACUACUGAGCCCGCGUGCCACAGCUACUGAAGCCCGUGCACCUAGAGCCCAUGCUCUGCCACAAGAGAAGCCACCGCAAUGAGAAGACUGCGCACCGCAACAGAGUAGCCCCUGCUUGCCGCAACUAGAGAAAGCCUGCGCGCGGCAACGAAGACCCAAUGCAGCCAAAAAUAAAUAAAUAAAUAAAUUUAAUUUAAAAAGCUGACCAUUAAAAAAAAAAAAGAAAAUAUUCAGAAAAAAAAUUCCAUAAAGUUCCAAGAAGGAAAACUUGAAUUUGCCGCAAGCCCGACAAUGAUUUACAUAGCAUUUUUAUUGUGUUAGUUACUAUAAGUAACCUAGAGAUGAUUUAGAGGAUGUGUGUCAGCUAUAUGCAAAUAUACGCCAUUUUAUAUAAGGGACUUGAGCAUUCAAGUGUUUUGGUAUCCUGAGCAGGGUCUUGGAACCAAUCUCCCUCGGAUACUGAGAGACAACUAAUUUAUCAGCCAAGGUGAAACAUCGAAGGAUUUCCACCAAAGUGUGGAAUGAUCAGAUUUGUGUUUUGGAAAGCUAACUUCAAUAUAUCUUUGUACGGAAGGCAGGAGGCCAGCUUGCAGGCUUUUAGUCCAGGUGAGAGAUGAUGAACGGUUAAUCUAAGGCUUCAGAGUGUAGUUAUCACAUUAUUAGUAAUUUGCAGAAUUUCUUGAUCGAUAAAAAGUGUGAGGAAGGGUUGAGGGAGAAGGAGGACUUUGUGGUCAAGAUUUCUAAGGUCAGGCAGAUGGCAAUUCCAUGAACAAAUUGCAUAUGUUUUCUUCCUCACUAGACCAAGUGUGGUCCUGGACUGGCAUCAUCAGCAUCAGCUGGGAACUUGUUAGAAAUGCAAAUUCUCAGGCCCCACUCUAGACCUAAUGAAUCAGAAACUCUGCAGUGGGACUCAAGCAGUCUGUUUUAACAAGACCUCCGGGUGAUUCUGAUGCACCUCAAACUUGAAAAACACUGCUUUGGAGUCUAUACCAGGACCUAUUCUUCAAGAGCCACAUAGAUGAGGUGGAUAGACCACCAGAAAACUGAAACCUAGGAAGAGAAGAUCUCUAAAAAGGGAAGAGAAUUCUUGCUUCCAAACCAUUAGGUUCUAAACUGUGAUAAUCCCUGAACUUGGACAUAUAUAAGGACGUGAGAUAUCAAAGAGUAAAGGACAAGAGGGAGAAAGUGGACCUACUGGCCGAGAAGGAGCCUUAGGAAAACCAUAGGACUCAUAAAUCAAAUCCCCAAACAAAUCUCUAUUUUGUCCCUAAUGGGAUAAUGACCAUUCCCAUUUGCCCUCUGGCUAAGUGUAUGGAUGGAGUUGAAGCCAACACUUCCACCAUUCCUCUAAGACUUUUUGGAAUGACAGAAUUCCGUUUCUAUGACCUACAUUCUUUGAAGGGAAUGCCUAUAGUGUGGAAAAAGCAUGUAGCAAGCCCUUUUAACAGUCUGGGUCUUGGUUUCCCCAGACCAAAAAGAAAAUAGAAAUAGAUCAUCUUUAGGACCGUAUGAAGCUGUGUUUUCCUACUAAGAGUGGGGCAGAACAAGGUAUAGUAAAAAGAGACUUGUUUUGGCUUCUUCCCGGAGACAGAGUACUCAUCUG